CCCGCACAAGCGGUGGAGCAUGUGGUUUAAUUCGAAGCAACGGCGAAGAACCUUACCAGGUCUUGACAUCCUUUGACCACUCUAGAGAUAGAGCUUCCCCUUCGGGGGCAAAGUGACAGGUGGUGCAUGGUUGUCGUCAGCUCGUGUCGUGAGAUGUUGGGUUAAGUCCCGCAACGAGCGCAACCCUUAUUGUUAGUUGCCAUCAUUCAGUUGGGCACUCUAGCAAGACUGCCGGUGACAAACCGGAGGAAGGUGGGGAUGACGUCAAAUCAUCAUGCCCCUUAUGACCUGGGCUACACACGUGCUACAAUGGGAAGUACAACGAGUUGCGAAGUCGCGAGGCUAAGCUAAUCUCUUAAAGCUUCUCUCAGUUCGGAUUGCAGGCUGCAACUCGCCUGCAUGAAGCCGGAAUCGCUAGUAAUCGCGGAUCAGCACGCCGCGGUGAAUACGUUCCCGGGCCUUGUACACACCGCCCGUCACACCACGAGAGUUUGUAACACCCGAAGUCGGUGAGGUAACCUUUUGGAGCCAGCCGCCUAAGGUGGGAUAGAUGA
This 554-nucleotide ribosomal RNA is filed under the name Enterococcus faecium. RNAcentral's name for it is "bacterial SSU rRNA". It matches the Rfam family "Bacterial small subunit ribosomal RNA", at positions 920 to 1474 of the family's 1533-position model. The record is from RNAcentral. Lineage: Bacteria; Bacillati; Bacillota; Bacilli; Lactobacillales; Enterococcaceae.